This 77-nucleotide transfer RNA is filed under the name Escherichia coli. Its description in RNAcentral is "tRNA-Ile". It matches the Rfam family "tRNA". From Rfam's summary of the family: Transfer RNA (tRNA) molecules are approximately 80 nucleotides in length. Lineage: Bacteria; Pseudomonadati; Pseudomonadota; Gammaproteobacteria; Enterobacterales; Enterobacteriaceae. The record is from RNAcentral.
ACAGGCUUGUAGCUCAGGUGGUUAGAGCGCACCCCUGAUAAGGGUGAGGUCGGUGGUUCAAGUCCACUCAGGCCUAC